Molecule: ribosomal RNA, 118 nt
Filed under: Capra hircus (goat)
Lineage: Eukaryota; Metazoa; Chordata; Mammalia; Artiodactyla; Bovidae
Source: RNAcentral
GUCUACGGCCAUACCACCCUGAACGCGCCCGAUCUCGUCUGAUUCGGAAGCUAAGCAGGGUCGGGCCCGGUUAGUACUUGGAUGGGAGACCGCCUGGGAAUACCGGGUGCUGUAGGCU